UGGGGUAUAUUGGACAAUGGGCGAAAGCCUGAUCCAGCCACGCCGCGUGUGUGAAGAAGGCCUUAUGGUUGUAAAGCACUCUAAGCGAGGAGGAGGGUACUGGUAUUAAUACUACCAGGUACUGGACGUUACUCGCAGAAUAAGCACCGGCUAACUCCGUGCAAGCCGCCGCGGUAAUACAGAGGGUGCGUGCGUUAAUCGGAUUUACUGGGCGUAAAGCGUGCGUAGGCGGCUAAUUGAGUCGGAUGUGAAAUCCCCGAGCUUAACUUGGGAAUUGCAUUCGAUACUGGUUAGCUAGAGUGUGGGAGAGGAUGGUAGAAGUCCAGGUCUAGCGGUGAUAGGCGUAGAGAUCUGGUGGAAGACCGAUGACGGAGGCAGCCAUCUGGCCUAACAAUGACGAUGAGGUACGAAAGAAUGGGGAGCAAACAGG
RNAcentral lists this ribosomal RNA (430 nucleotides) under Pseudomonadota bacterium. RNAcentral's name for it is "Proteobacteria bacterium partial 16S ribosomal RNA". It matches the Rfam family "Bacterial small subunit ribosomal RNA", at positions 355 to 776 of the family's 1533-position model. The record is from RNAcentral. Lineage: Bacteria; Pseudomonadati; Pseudomonadota.